RNAcentral lists this ribosomal RNA (229 nucleotides) under uncultured bacterium. RNAcentral describes it as "partial 16S ribosomal RNA". It matches the Rfam family "Bacterial small subunit ribosomal RNA", at positions 118 to 347 of the family's 1533-position model. The record is from RNAcentral.
UGAGGAACAUGAUCUUCGGCGGGGGAUAGCCGGCCCAACGGCCGGGUAAUACCGCGUACGACCACAUGGGGACAUCCCUGAGUGGUGAAAGCAGCAAUGCACCGAAAGAGUGCCUCGCGGCCUAUCAGCUAGUUGGUGGGGUAACGGCUCACCAAGGCGACGACGGGUAGCUGGUCUGAGAGGAUGGCCAGCCACAUUGGGACUGAGACACGGCCCAGACUCCUAGGAG